GAUGAACGCUGGCGGCGUGCCUAAUACAUGCAAGUCGAGCGAACAGACGCGGAGCUUGCUCCUCUGACGUUAGCGGCGGACGGGUGAAUCACACGUGUAUAACCUACCUAUCAGACUGGGAUAACUUCGGGACACCGGCGCUAAUCGCGUAUAAGAUAUUGAACCGCAUGGUUCAAUGGUGAAAUACGGCGUUUCUGUCACUUAUAGAUGCAUCUGCGCCGCAUUAGCUAGUUGGUAAGUUAACGGCUUACGACGGCAACGAUGCGUAGCCGACCGGAGAGGGGGGUCGCCGACACUGGAACUGGGACACGCUCCAGAGUCCUAAGGGAGGCAGCAGUAGGGAAUGUGACGCAAUGGGCGAAAGCUUGGCGGAGCAACGCCGCGCGAGUGACGACGGUCUUGGGAUCGUAAAACUCUGUUAUUAGGGAAGAACAAAUGUGUAAGUAACUAAGCACGUAUUGACGGUACCGAGUCAGAAAGCCACGGCUAACUACGUG
Molecule: ribosomal RNA, 497 nt
Filed under: uncultured bacterium
Lineage: Bacteria
Description: partial 16S ribosomal RNA
Rfam family: Bacterial small subunit ribosomal RNA
Source: RNAcentral